GCCUCGAUAGCUCAGUUGGGAGAGCGUUAGACUGAAGUCCCGGAAGCCGGCAUACUGGCUUGACAAAUUGGAGAUCUAAAGGUCCCUGGUUCAAUCCCGGGUCGAGGCA
Molecule: non-coding RNA, 109 nt
Organism: Branchiostoma floridae (Florida lancelet)
Lineage: Eukaryota; Metazoa; Chordata; Leptocardii; Amphioxiformes; Branchiostomatidae
Source: Rfam